Molecule: long non-coding RNA, 499 nt
Organism: Melospiza melodia melodia
Lineage: Eukaryota; Metazoa; Chordata; Aves; Passeriformes; Passerellidae
Exons: 3
Source: RefSeq, a predicted model, not a curated record
UCCUCAGUGCGUCACGGGUGGAGGGGGAGGAAGAGAAAGAAGCGGCGGAGAUGCCCCUCGGUGCCGAGCCUGAGAGGUGUUUUCAUUCCGUGUAUGGAAUCCAGAAUGGUUUGGGUGGGAAGGGACCCCAAAGCUCUCCAGUUCCAUCCCUGCCAUAGUUAGGGACGGGACACCUUCCAAUGUCCCAGGUUGCCCCAUCUAUCUGGCCUUGGACGCUGCCAGGGAAUUCAGACAAGAUCUGAGCCUGUUUCAAAUGGGGCUGGUUACAGCAAUACCAAACAAACGCCUGGAAAUGAUGAAGAGGAGCACAGCUUCCAGAGACUUCAGGUUGUGUUAAGAAUAACACUUUUUUCAGCAGAUUCAUUGUGUAACAAGAGGGAUCUGCCCAGUGUCAAAGAUAUUUGAGAUUGUGGCUUCAGGUGCCGCCACUAAUGAAGGCCUCAGCCUUGGAAUCAGGAUGAAGCUGGAGCCUGAAGGAGCCAGGCACACUCAGGAGAGG